RNAcentral lists this long non-coding RNA (2044 nucleotides) under Homo sapiens (human). Its description in RNAcentral is "ERRFI1 divergent transcript (ERRFI1-DT)". The record is from RNAcentral. Lineage: Eukaryota; Metazoa; Chordata; Mammalia; Primates; Hominidae.
GGGCCGAAGAAGCCCUGGAGGGGGAGAGGGGAGCCGCUCUCGACUGGGCUUGCGGCGUGGGAGGGACAGUGAGGGACACUUAGGGACUGUGUGGGGCAGUGAAGGAUAGUGUGGGAUGAUGAGGGACCGUGUGGACCGGUGAGCGACUGUGUGGGACAGUGCGGGACGAUGAGAGACGGUGUGGGACGGUGAGGGACAGUGCGGGACGAUGAGGGACAGUGAGGGACUGUGUAGGACAGUGAGGGACAGUGUGGGACGGUGAGGGACUGUGGGACAGUGAGGGACUUUGGGACUGUGAGGGACUCGGACAGUGAAGGAUGGCAAGGGACAGUGUGGGACAGUAUGGGACAGUGGACAGUGAGGCACUGUGAGGGGCGGUGAGGGACAAUGAAGGAUGUCAAGGGACAGUGUGGGACAGUGGACGGUGAGGUACUGUGAGGGGCGGUGAGGGACAGUGUGGGACUGUGAGGGAUGGCGAGGGACAGAGUAGGACAGCAAGGGAGGAUGAGGGGACAGAGUGGGCCGGCGUGGGGCGGUGAGGCUACGCGGGGGGAACCCAGGGCUCCUCUGACUGCGUUGGAAUAUGGAGGAAAGGUCCUGCUCGAGGUUGAGCCCUUCAGGGUCGCUGUGGGUUUCCAGGAGGAGCUCCCUCACUACUGACUUAGGGGGCCCUCGGCUUCCCAGUGUAAGAAGAAGCUGUCUUUGGAGUGAGAACAAGGGUGAGGUUCUGGCUCAGAAACCUUAGAAUCACAGACACUGUUUUCCUGAAAACAUUGCUUCUUUCUCUCAUCUCAAAGAAAUGCCACAAGUCGUGUGUUUCCCCACUGCGAGCCCUUCGAGAACAAUGUCAUGUUGAUCGAUGGCAGUGACUCACACCAGAUCUUUCCAUGCCUCCUCUGCAAGGACUCAAGAGAGUCGAGAGCAAAACCGUGCCAUAGUUCCAUAAGGAGGGCAAAGAGCUUUAUCCACGCUGAGGAACAGGCGGAUCAUGCGGCUACAGCACUGGUCUUUACCUUUUAACUGCUUGAUUCGAAACAUUCCAGCCAGGAACAGUGGCUCACACCUGUAAUCCCAGCACUUUGUGGGGCCAAGGCAGGUGGAUUGCUCGAGCUCAGGAGUUCGAAACCAGCCUGGGCAACCUGGCAAAACCUCAUCUCUACAAAAAAAUACAAAAAUUAGCCAGGCCUGGUGUGUGUGCCUGUGGUUCCAGCCACUCGGCAGGCUGCGGCCAGAGGAUCACUUGAGCCCAGGAAGUGGAGGCUGCAGUGAGCUGAGAUCGUGCCGCCACACUCCAGCCUGGGUGACAGAGCCAGACAUUGUCUCUAAAAAAAAAAAAAAAAGAAAAGAAAAGAAAGAAAAAAGAGAAAUAGUCCAAGACUAGGGAGAAAACCUUCUUUGGGGUCAGUGUGAACCAUUCUUUCAUUUGUUCAGCAAAUGCUUACUGAGGAGCUACUGUGUCCCUGAAAUUGCCUCCACCUCCAAGAAGACAGUGGUGAGCAAGUCAGACAAUACCUCUAAUCUCAUGGUAUUUAUAAGUAAAUGGGCCGUUAAAAUUACCAGAUCAGAAGUGCUGUGUUCAGCAAAUAGAGGCUCAUGGGAAACUCCUAAGAAGGGCUUCUGAGCUGGACUUGGGGGUCAGGAAAGGCAGAAUGAGGGGGCUGACUCAUCCAGACUGGGGCGGGGUUGCCGGGGGUGCCUCCCACUUACUAUCUGUCUCCUUCUAGACUGACUUCUCUGUCAUCAUGAAUACACCCCUUUAAGACAUACAUUUAAGAGAAAAUAAGAGGAUGCCUUAUUUAUUUAAAGGUUUGUUACAGUUUUACUAACAACCACAUACCUAAAGGAAAGUCGCAAGUAGAGCUCAAAAACUUUUUUCUCUGGGGCAGUGAAGAGUCAGUUGCCAGCCAGAAGGCCCACUGAGCCUGAGCACUUCAGGGUGUGCUUCCUACAGAUAAGGACAUCCUCCUGCAUAACAGGAAAGGGGUCCUGAUCCAGACCCCAAGAGAGGGUUCUUGGAUCUCGCACAAGAAAGAAUUCCGGGUGA